UACGUAGGGUGCAAGCGUUAUCCGGAAUUAUUGGGCGUAAAGAGCUCGUAGGCGGUUUGUCGCGUCUGCUGUGAAAACUGGAGGCUCAACCUCCAGCCUGCAGUGGGUACGGGCAGACUAGAGUGCGGUAGGGGAGAUUGGAAUUCCUGGUGUAGCGGUGGAAUGCGCAGAUAUCAGGAGGAACACCGAUGGCGAAGGCAGAUCUCUGGGCCGUAACUGACGCUGAGGAGCGAAGGCAUGGGGAGCGAACAGG
This 253-nucleotide ribosomal RNA is filed under the name uncultured bacterium. RNAcentral's name for it is "partial 16S ribosomal RNA". It matches the Rfam family "Bacterial small subunit ribosomal RNA", at positions 524 to 776 of the family's 1533-position model. The record is from RNAcentral.